Papaver somniferum (opium poppy) is the source of this 2620-nucleotide long non-coding RNA. RefSeq lists it as uncharacterized. The transcript is spliced from 12 exons. NCBI's taxonomy places the organism in Eukaryota, Viridiplantae, Streptophyta, Magnoliopsida, Ranunculales, Papaveraceae. The record is from RefSeq and is a predicted model, not a curated record.
UUUGACUUAUGUUUACGCCCAAGUCAAAGUUUGGUCAAGCACUCUUCUUUUUUUUCCACCCUUCAGCAUUAUCCGCCUUAUCUUUCCAUCCUUAAAGAGAUUUCUGAGCCAUAUUUUUUUUCAUUCUCUUUCUUCUUCGAGCUGAAGCUCUGAACUUCUCAAGACCCCAUCUUAGAUUCAAAAGCAAACCCUGGUCUCUUCUUCAACUGACUUCUUCUUAAUCAAGAACAUAAAGUCAUCAAAAUCAGCUUCAGAUACCCUAUCACAAAAUCGAUUGAACCACAACAACCCUAGUUCGAUAAACAGUUGGAAGCAUUGAUCUGAGCUUUUAGGUCAUCUGUGACAUUUGAAAGCAUCGAUCUGAUAAUCAGAUAAUUCACCUGGUAAUCAAUUUCCCUGUUAUUGUCCCCGCGAGGAUGAAAGAUGUGGUCGAAUCGUGAGGAUACCGAAGCCAUUGGCUCAGAUUAUGAUCGUUACUUGCGUAAUUGAGGACUGCAGAUAGGCUUUGAAUUAGGUUCACCAUUCAAACCAUUCAAUCAGCUGAUGGGUGUCUUUCCAGCUGCAAGUUUCCUUGCGCUACCUGAGCAUUAUAGGAAAUUGAUGAGCGACCCAACUUCACCGAUUAUUGAUUUUUAUCCGACUGGUAUGUUCUAUGGUCUCACAAAUACGUAGUGUUAAAGUCGUUAAGAUUGGCAAGAGGUUUGCAUGGCAGGUUAGAUUCUUAAAUUUCUUGUGUAGAGUGCUGGAUAUUUGGGUUCUUGAUAUCUGUUUUAUGGGAGAGUUGAAAAUCUCAUUUAUACCAAUUACUCGAGAUUCUCUUUUUGUAGGGUAUCCCUAAACUACCAUUCAUCGAUGAAAGUCAUCUUCUUACCAAGCGUAGUAUAUAUUGCUUUGGAUCUAUUACAGGGUUAGCGUAGUUGCUAUUGCCAGGUUCAAUGAAUUUGAGGAAAUGCAAGAAACGGCUUCAUGCAAAAUAUGUUGUUCAUCCAGAUGCAUCUAACACUUUAUUUGUCGAAUGGUUGCCUGCAAAUUGUACAAAACGUGAAUUCUCUCUUAUCUUGCUCCUUUUGUAGGUUUUAAAGAAGUAACACCUAUGAGCAAGGAGUCUCGUCAUUCUGGAGGAGAUCCACUUGUCCUGUGUUUUGUUGAUAUUAUCAAUCUUGUGCAAGUAGCAACGGUGUUGGGCGCCUUACAAUGCGAACACAAAAAGCUUACUCUUUUUCUUUCUUCACUUUAUGUGAAGCUUAUCUCCAUUUUCAUACACAAAUUUACUUUACCAUGUCUCCUCAUUGUUGCUGCUUGCAUAUGAUUCCAAAAUAGUAUAUUUGCAUCGCGAUGGAGCAUCAUUAGUGCACUUAGGUUGAGUGAUAUAGUUUUCCAUCAUUUCUUGGCUGUUUCUGCCAUUUUUAUUUGAAUUGUGGUUUUGUUUUCAUUUUUAUUGUAAGAAGAUAUACUUAAUGACUUAAUACCCCUCUUGCAGGUUACAGACCAAAACCUUGAUAUUUCGCAGAAGACACCUGCUUGUGUACCUUAUGCUUUGCGGCAUUAUUAUUAUCAGUAUUUAUUGUCCAUCGCUGAGGCUGUUGAGAUACAAAUUUGAAUACGUUAACCAUAGAGUGCAAGGCCAGUAUGUCAGAAACAUGUUGUUAGCAGUCGCAGUCAUCUGGCUAAAUAGUUAAGUUGUUGCUUGAUUUUAUAACCUGAUUAUGCCUAUUUUAACAUGCUGAUUUCUCGACUCUACAUAUAGUUAUUUCACCUCCUGUAUUGCAGGACAAGAUCUCAAUUCUUAGAGAAAAUGACACAUUACUAAAAGCAAAGGAAAAGCUGAAUCUUUAGAUGGAUUUUUGCUGAAAAACAAAGAUUUAGCUGACGGUCAAAUUAUGGCACUAACAAAAUCAUUGGAAGCUCUUCAAAAAGAUCUUAAGGACCGAGAGCUUCAGGUACAAGAUUUGAAGAAGUCAUUGGAGCUUCAAAGACAGGAACUAAAUGACUGCAGAGUGAGAUCACUUUACUAAAAAUGCACAUAGAGGGGUAGAAUAUUCUAUGGAAUCACAUCUCCGCGCUUUUGGUGAAAGAGAACGCUGGAAAAUUGAAGUUUUAUUGCGGAUGUUGACAAAGCUGCUUCCAUUCGUGCACUGAAAAGUGAUUGAGACUUGCUCAUUUCCCUCUGCAAUGAGAUCUUUUACAUCUUCUGAAACAUGGGAAUUCUUCAUAAUCUCCUUGUUCGAAUUGUACGCAGGGAUCCCCAACAGCAGAUUGCACUCCUAACAGCGUUCCUGGCAAAGGUGAAUAAGUCUUUUGUUUGUGACAUUAGUACUGAAACAUCAAGUUGGUUAUUAUGCGGGUAUUUGGGCUUAAGUCAAAAAGCAGUACUCUGGUGAUAUUUUAGAAGCAGUUGAAUCUUUGCUGAGGAGAUUGGUUAAGCAAGCGGAGUCUGGUGAUACUUCUGGUGAUAUUUAGUCUUUCUUUCCCUAUUUUUCAAUGCCUCUGUCAGUUGACACAAACUAGGUUACCCAUCCAUUUUAAAAACAUCACAUAGAUCGAAUAUUGUAUGUCAGUCACAACAUACAUAAGUUUACUUGUGUACAUUCAAUUGAAGAAUCCUUUCUUUUAUGAUAAU